GACGAACCGAGCGAGCGUUGUUCGGAAUCACUGGGCUUAAAGGGCGCGUAGGCGGGCUGUCAAGUCUGGGGUGAAAUCCCGCGGCUCAACCGUGGAACUGCCUCAGAUACUGACGGUCUCGAGGGAGGUAGGGGCGAGCGGAACUGAUGGUGGAGCGGUGAAAUGCGUUGAUAUCAUCAGGAACUCCGGUGGCGAAGGCGGCUCGCUGGACCUCUUCUGACGCUGAGGCGCGAAAGCCAGGGGAGCAAACGGG
Molecule: ribosomal RNA, 253 nt
Filed under: uncultured bacterium
Lineage: Bacteria
Description: partial 16S ribosomal RNA
Rfam family: Bacterial small subunit ribosomal RNA
Source: RNAcentral